AACGCACCUUGCGCUCCCUGGUAUUCCGGGGAGCACGCCUGUUCGAGUGUCGCGAAAUUUCUCAAGCUUGGAUGGCCUUUAUGUCUGUCCUUAGCCUUGGUUGUUGGGCUUUGCCGUGUCCUUUAUUGGGACGGCUGGCCUUAAAUGCAUUAGCUGAUCCUUGUGUGGCACUGGUUCUACUCAGCGUGAUAAUAGUCUGAUCGCUGAGGACAUCUUUCGGGAUGGCCAGUCCUCAUUUGGGUUGCUUCUAAACUUGGUGUUGCAAUCUGUAAUGCCACUUUUCAGCUUUGACCUCGAAUCAGGUGGGACUACCCGCUGAACUUAA
Molecule: unclassified non-coding RNA, 325 nt
Filed under: Clavulina sp.
Lineage: Eukaryota; Fungi; Basidiomycota; Agaricomycetes; Cantharellales; Hydnaceae
Also listed under: 2 other names
Description: partial contains 5.8S ribosomal RNA, internal transcribed spacer 2, and large subunit ribosomal RNA
Source: RNAcentral